This 578-nucleotide ribosomal RNA is filed under the name uncultured bacterium. RNAcentral describes it as "bacterial SSU rRNA". It matches the Rfam family "Bacterial small subunit ribosomal RNA", at positions 1 to 564 of the family's 1533-position model. The record is from RNAcentral.
CUCGAGGCCAGAUCUAGAGUUUGAUCCUGGCUGAGAUUGAACGCUGGCGGCAUGCCUUACACAUGCAAGUCGAACGGCAGCAUGGGAGCUUGCUCCUGAUGGCGAGUGGCGAACGGGUGAGUAAUAUAUCGGAACGUGCCCUAGAGUGGGGGAUAACUAGUCGAAAGACUAGCUAAUACCGCAUACGAUCUACGGAUGAAAGUGGGGGAUCGCAAGACCUCAUGCUCCUGGAGCGGCCGAUAUCUGAUUAGCUAGUUGGUGGGGUAAAAGCCUACCAAGGCGACGAUCAGUAGCUGGUCUGAGAGGACGACCAGCCACACUGGGACUGAGACACGGCCCAGACUCCUACGGGAGGCAGCAGUGGGGAAUUUUGGACAAUGGGGGCAACCCUGAUCCAGCAAUGCCGCGUGAGUGAAGAAGGCCUUCGGGUUGUAAAGCUCUUUUGUCAGGGAAGAAACGGUAGUAGCUAACAUCUAUUACUAAUGACGGUACCUGAAGAAUAAGCACCGGCUAACUACGUGCCAGCAGCCGCGGUAAUGCGUAGGGUGCAAGCGUUAAUCGGAAUUACUGGGCGUAAA